This 256-nucleotide long non-coding RNA is filed under the name Lathyrus oleraceus (garden pea). RNAcentral's name for it is "Pisum sativum (pea) long non-coding RNA (PSAT_LNC024915)". Lineage: Eukaryota; Viridiplantae; Streptophyta; Magnoliopsida; Fabales; Fabaceae. The record is from RNAcentral.
UAAGUUUAGAAAUCACAAGCAAAGAAUAUUUUGAAAGGGGAGAGAGAUUUGAAAUUUAAGAAGAGGAAGGAGAUGAAGAGACUAAUCCUAAGCAAAAAUUUAAAAGUUAAGAGUUAAAAAGAUCUAACCAAUGGGAUGCAAUCCAAUAGACAAAAGUGUCAUAUAGAAACCCACUUUUCCUUUGGACUUUGGAAUCAAGCAACGUCAAUAAACAAGAAUCGAAAUGAAGAGCAAGGCAUCAAAUAAAUAUAGUCAA